CUCUUAUUAUAGUCGCUCUAUGUUUCCUUCCAACCAUAGCUGCCCAUCUUGCUUCUCUCUCAUUUCCUCGUUUAAAGCCGGCGACGGAGGACCACCACUCAAAAUAUGCGGUUCCGAUAAUCAUUACCCACUACCACCUCCAUCUUCACUCGCCUCAAUCACCGCACCUGAGAUCCUUGUCUUUGAACUCCGAUCGGACGAGCGUCCCAUCAUCCCCUUCGACGAGUUUUUUUCAUCUCCCUAUCAAUUUCUGGGCAAUCAUCUCUACAUGUUCGGUUUCCAGACUUGGGAAUACAGGUAGGUUAACGCGAAAUCAUCUCUCCUUGUUCUUAUAUAUAUUCGAAUUUUGUGUUUUCUAUGAUUAAUUAGAUGUUUGUGUUUAUGUAGUUAUUUUCUGGUGGUGAUUAUAUUUUUUCAGUUGGUUUUGGCUAAUAAUGCGAUCGUGAAAAUCUAGUAUGAAAGAAGCGGAGAAUUGAUGUGUGGUUUAAACUUCAA
This 495-nucleotide long non-coding RNA is filed under the name Erythranthe guttata (spotted monkey flower). Its description in RNAcentral is "long non-coding RNA (EGUT_LNC002677)". The record is from RNAcentral. Lineage: Eukaryota; Viridiplantae; Streptophyta; Magnoliopsida; Lamiales; Phrymaceae.